UACAGCCGCUCUUUCCACACCGUGAGUCACGGGGUCGCCAACUCCACGCCCUCUGGACACCGAGUCGUCACGGCCCCGCAUCUCUCAGGCACAGGUCUCUGACACAAAAGCCACAGCAUCUGCUUAGAUGAGCGCUGACGGUGCGCUGGACUUGACAGUUCGUCCUCACAGUACUCGCCGGAAUCACCCCCUCGGCACGGACAGCCUGGACAGCCUGAUGCGUGGCAAGGAGUCUUUGCUUGGCCAAACCUUAACUGAGGCUCGGCACCUUUUCUUCCAUUCGUCUGUGCAUUUCCUUCUGACGUCCAGUUUGAACCCAAGACCCCUGUUCGGUCGGUUUCGCCGAAACAAACCACCCUGGGCAGAAGAUCAGGGUUUUCCUCUGCCAGCCCCCCCCCGCCCCGCCCCCGACGAUGCCUGAGGGCCAGGGACGGUCUCCA
RNAcentral lists this long non-coding RNA (440 nucleotides) under Fukomys damarensis (Damara mole-rat). Its description in RNAcentral is "lncRNA (ENSFDAG00000023604.1)". Lineage: Eukaryota; Metazoa; Chordata; Mammalia; Rodentia; Bathyergidae. The record is from RNAcentral.